This 378-nucleotide ribosomal RNA is filed under the name uncultured bacterium. Its description in RNAcentral is "bacterial SSU rRNA". It matches the Rfam family "Bacterial small subunit ribosomal RNA", at positions 963 to 1340 of the family's 1533-position model. The record is from RNAcentral.
GAAGAACCUUACCUACCCUUGACAUCUAGAGAAUUUUCCAGAGAUAGAAGAGUGCUUUAAGGAGAUCUGAAACACAUGUUGCACGGGGCUGUUCUGAUCUUGUGUUGAGAUAUGUGGUUAAAUCUCGCAAAGAGCGCAAACCCCUUCCCUUGUUUCCAGAUCGUUAAGUUGGGCACUUUAAGGAGACUGCCGGUGAUAAACCGGAGGAAGGUGGGGAUGACGUCAAGUCCUCAUGGCCCUUAUGGGUAGGGCUUCACACGUGAUACAAUGGUCGGUACAGAGGGUUGCCAACCCGCGAGGUGGAGCCAAUCCCAGAAAGCCGAUCGUAGUCCGGAUUGUAGUCUGCAACUCGACUCCAUGAGGUCGGAAUCGGUAGGA